Magnolia sinica is the source of this 933-nucleotide long non-coding RNA. RefSeq lists it as uncharacterized. NCBI's taxonomy places the organism in Eukaryota, Viridiplantae, Streptophyta, Magnoliopsida, Magnoliales, Magnoliaceae. The record is from RefSeq and is a predicted model, not a curated record. The transcript has 2 exons.
CCCUUCUCUCUCUCUCUCUCUCUCUCUCUCGAUCUCCCACACCCCUUGUGAAUGCGUUAAAACUUCUUCAACCUUCUAUAGAAACCCCAACCUCAGAUUCUUCCUCUCUGAAUUUCCGAAAACAAAAAUGAAAGAGAGAUUAAAUAAGAUCUCUCUCUCACAAAAAUUGGAUCGGAGAAAACGAAGCAGUCACUGCAGUGGAACGAUAAUGUCGACGAGGAGCAGCUCAGCUUCUUCCAAGCAUCCUUUAAACCUCACUUCUCCCAAUACCAAAUGCUCCAAGGUUCUCUCAUCUUUAGGGUUUCUCUCUCUCUCUUUGUUUUUUUCUAUUUCCAGCGUUUUGAUUUUGAUGAGGGAUUUGCAAAACAUCAGAUGGAUAUUCCACCUUUGCUAAACGAUGCCGGCAACACCAGUUGUACACUUCAAAGUGAUUUGUCUUCUCUUCAAGAAGGCCCUCAACUUCCCUUCGAUCCGACCCCUGUCAGCGUGCUGAAGGAGAAAUCUAACCAGGGCACCGACAGAUUGGUGUGAAGGGUGAAGAUUUUCCAGUUUUAAAAAUGUUUUUCAGCUAAGAAUGUUUGUUUUUAUUUCUAUUGAAGUCUCCACUUUUAUCUCCAAAUAAUAUUUCUUGGAGAUUGGUGUGAAGGGUGAAGAUUUUCUGUUUCCUUCUCAUAUUAGAAGGAAUCCUUUGCAGUGCUCUUGACAGAAAUUCAUUCCCACAUGAAUUCCAAUUUGGUUUCAGUACAUCUGCAUUUCAGGUGGAAGGAGCAGCUCUUGAAGAUGGGAGGGGUGUAAGCAUCUGGGAUACUCUCUGUUCUCUUCCUGGUAAAUAACCAAAAUGCCUUUUUCUUUUCUAUUUUUUUUUGUGGGUAUUUUACUAUUUCUUCUCUUGAGCUUUUCUGUAAUUAUUACGAUGACUGGUGUUGGAUUUUU